This 479-nucleotide ribosomal RNA is filed under the name uncultured eukaryote. RNAcentral describes it as "SSU rRNA". It matches the Rfam family "Eukaryotic small subunit ribosomal RNA", at positions 73 to 549 of the family's 1831-position model. The record is from RNAcentral.
GAUUAAUGGUGAAGCCGCGAAUGGCUCAUUACAACAGCCAUAGUUUCUUAGAUCUUACUUUUCUACUUGGAUAACUGUGGUAAUUCUAGAGCUAAUACACGCAAACAAGCUCAGACCUUACGGAAUGAGCGCAUUUAUUAGAACAAAAACCAAUCGGAUCUCGGUCCGUCAUUUGGUGAAUCUGAAUAACUUUGCUGAUCGCACGGUCAUCGUACCGGCGACAUAUCUUUCAAAUGUCUGCCUUAUCAACUUUCGAUGGUAGUUUAUGCGCCUACCAUGGUUGUAACGGGUAACGGAGAAUAAGGGUUCGACUCCGGAGAGGGAGCCUGAGAAACGGCUACCACAUCCAAGGAAGGCAGCAGGCACGCAAAUUACCCACUCCCGGCACGGGGAGGUAGUGACGAAAAAUAACGAGACGGCUCGCUAUGCGGUCCGUCAUCGGAAUGGGUACAAUUUAAAUCCUUUAACGAGGAUCUAUU